CAAUACUUUGAUAAAUGGGUAUUGUAAAGCUGGAAAUCUGGGAGAAGCUUUAAAGCUGAUGACUGAAAUGAGGGAAAAAGGUUUCAAGAUGGAUAAGUUUUCCAUAAACACAGUU
This 115-nucleotide microRNA precursor is filed under the name Daucus carota subsp. sativus. RNAcentral describes it as "sRNA DCAR_mi00008". Lineage: Eukaryota; Viridiplantae; Streptophyta; Magnoliopsida; Apiales; Apiaceae. The record is from RNAcentral.